GACGAACGCUGGCGGCGUGCCUAAUACAUGCAAGUCGAGCGGACUGAUUAAGAGCUUGCUCUUAUGACGGUAGCGGCGGACGGGUGAGUAACACGUGGGCAACCUGCCCUGUAGAUCGGGAUAACACCGAGAAAUCGGUGCUAAUACCGGGUAAUAUCUGAGAUCACAUGAUCUUAGGUUAAAUGAUGGCUCCGGCUAUCACUACAGGCUGGGCCCGCGGCGCAUUAGCUAGUUGGUAAGGUAAUGGCUUACCAAGGCGACGAUGCGUAGCCGACCUGAGAGGGUGACGGGCCGCAGCGGGACUGAGACACGGCCCAGACUCCUACGGGAGGCAGCAGUAGGGAAUCUUCCGCAAUGGACGAAAGUCUGAAGGAGCAACGCCGCGUGAGUGAUGAAGGGUUGCGGCUCGUAAAGCGCUGUUGUUAGGGAAGAAACAGUAACGAACGAACUAGGUCGGUACCUUGACGGUACCUAACCAGAAAGCCACGGCUAACUACGUG
This 500-nucleotide ribosomal RNA is filed under the name uncultured bacterium. RNAcentral describes it as "partial 16S ribosomal RNA". It matches the Rfam family "Bacterial small subunit ribosomal RNA", at positions 28 to 507 of the family's 1533-position model. The record is from RNAcentral.